CUAAGGAAUAUUACGGAAACUACACAGUUUGUAACUUGUCUUUGUUCAGUUUUGAGAGGUCUACUCUCAAACAAUUUUGUUCAUUGAAAACUGGAUACUUGAAGAAAAAAAUCAAAACAAACCGAGAACACCGCGUUGAAUGAGUUUUUUAAUAAGUUCAAUUGCUUAUUUUCUUGAGUAAGCUUCUAUCGCUAGAAGAACUGCUCAAAACCAGACCGAAAGGUCUUAUAA
Molecule: unclassified non-coding RNA, 231 nt
Filed under: Enterococcus dispar
Lineage: Bacteria; Bacillati; Bacillota; Bacilli; Lactobacillales; Enterococcaceae
Also listed under: 1 other name
Description: partial 16S-23S ribosomal RNA intergenic spacer
Source: RNAcentral